AGUGAACGCUGGCGGUAGGCCUAACACAUGCAAGUCGAACGGCAGCACAGAGGAGCUUGCUCCUUGGGUGGCGAGUGGCGGACGGGUGAGGAAUACAUCGGAAUCUACUCUGUCGUGGGGGAUAACGUAGGGAAACUUACGCUAAUACCGCAUACGACCUACGGGUGAAAGCAGGGGAUCUUCGGACCUUGCGCGAUUGAAUGAGCCGAUGUCGGAUUAGCUAGUUGGCGGGGUAAAGGCCCACCAAGGCGACGAUCCGUAGCUGGUCUGGGAGGAUGAUCAGCAACACUGGAACUGAGACACGGUCCAGACUCCUACGGGAGGCAGCAGUGGGGAAUAUUGGACAAUGGGCGCAAGCCUGAUCCAGCCAUACCGCGUGGGUGAAGAAGGCCUUCGGGUUGUAAAGCCCUUUUGUUGGGAAAGAAAUCCAUCUGGUUAAUACCCGGGUGGGAUGACGGUACCCAAAGAAUAAGCACCGGCUAACUUCGUGCCAGCCGCCGCCGUA
This 505-nucleotide ribosomal RNA is filed under the name uncultured bacterium. Its description in RNAcentral is "partial 16S ribosomal RNA". It matches the Rfam family "Bacterial small subunit ribosomal RNA", at positions 29 to 522 of the family's 1533-position model. The record is from RNAcentral.